UGGGGAAUAUUGGACAAUGGGCGCAAGCCUGAUCCAGCCAUGCCGCGUGAGUGAUGAAGGCCUUAGGGUUGUAAAGCUCUUUCGCCGGUGAAGAUAAUGACGGUAACCGGAGAAGAAGCCCCGGCUAACUUCGUGCCAGCAGCCGCGGUAAUACGAAGGGGGCUAGCGUUGCUCGGAAUCACUGGGCGUAAAGCGCACGUAGGCGGAUCGUUAAGUCAGGGGUGAAAUCCUGGAGCUCAACUCCAGAACUGCCCUUGAUACUGGCGAUCUCGAGUUCGAGAGAGGUUGGUGGAACUCCGAGUGUAGAGGUGAAAUUCGUAGAUAUUCGGAAGAACACCAGUGGCGAAGGCGGCCAACUGGCUCGAUACUGACGCUGAGGUGCGAAAGCGUGGGGAGCAAAACAGGAUUAGAUACCCUGGUAGUCCACGCCGUAAACGAUGGAUGCUAGCCGUUGGGGGGUUUACCUCUCAGUGGCGCAGCUAACGCCUUAAGCAUCCCGCCUGGGGAGUACGGUCGCAAGAUUAAAAACUCAAAGGAAUUGACGGGGUCAUAGCUG
Molecule: ribosomal RNA, 556 nt
Filed under: uncultured bacterium
Lineage: Bacteria
Description: partial 16S ribosomal RNA
Rfam family: Bacterial small subunit ribosomal RNA
Source: RNAcentral